GACGAACGCUGGCGGCGUGCUUAACACAUGCAAGUCGAGCGGUAAGGCUCCUUCGGGAGUACACGAACGGCGAACGGGUGAGUAACACGUGAGCAAUCUGCCCUUCACACGGGGAUAACCCUCGGAAACGAGAGCUAAUACCCGAUACGACCACUUCAGGCAUCUGAUGGUGGUGGAAAGUUCCGGCGGUGAAGGAUGAGCUCGCGGCCUAUCAGCUUGUUGGUGGGGUAACGGCCCACCAAGGCAACGACGGGUAGCCGGCCUGAGAGGGUGACCGGCCACACUGGGACUGACACACGGCCCAGACUCCUACGGGAGGCAGCAGUGGGGAAUAUUGGACAAUGGGCGAAAGCCUGAUCCAGCAACGCCGCGUGAGGGAUGACGGCCUUCGGGUUGUAAACCUCUUUCAGCAGGGACGAAGCGCAAGUGACGGUACCUGCAGAAGAAGCACCGGCCAACUACGUGCCAGCCGCCGCCGUAA
This 481-nucleotide ribosomal RNA is filed under the name uncultured bacterium. RNAcentral's name for it is "partial 16S ribosomal RNA". It matches the Rfam family "Bacterial small subunit ribosomal RNA", at positions 28 to 523 of the family's 1533-position model. The record is from RNAcentral.